Molecule: ribosomal RNA, 727 nt
Filed under: uncultured bacterium
Lineage: Bacteria
Description: bacterial SSU rRNA
Rfam family: Bacterial small subunit ribosomal RNA
Source: RNAcentral
CCUGCCGUCUACUCUUGGCCAGCCUUCUGAAAGGAAGAUUAAUCCAGGAUGGGAUCAUGAGUUCACAUGUCCGCAUGAUUAAAGGUAUUUUCCGGUAGACGAUGGGGAUGCGUUCCAUUAGAUAGUAGGCGGGGUAACGGCCCACCUAGUCAACGAUGGAUAGGGGUUCUGAGAGGAAGGUCCCCCACAUUGGAACUGAGACACGGUCCAAACUCCUACGGGAGGCAGCAGUGAGGAAUAUUGGUCAAUGGGCGAUGGCCUGAACCAGCCAAGUAGCGUGAAGGAUGACUGCCCUAUGGGUUGUAAACUUCUUUUAUAAAGGAAUAAAGUCGGGUAUGCAUACCCGUUUGCAUGUACUUUAUGAAUAAGGAUCGGCUAACUCCGUGCCAGCAGCCGCGGUAAUACGGAGGAUCCGAGCGUUAUCCGGAUUUAUUGGGUUUAAAGGGAGCGUAGAUGGAUGUUUAAGUCAGUUGUGAAAGUUUGCGGCUCAACCGUAAAAUUGCAGUUGAUACUGGAUGUCUUGAGUGCAGUUGAGGCAGGCGGAAUUCGUGGUGUAGUGGUGAAAUGCUUAGAUAUCACGAAGAACUCCGAUUGCGAAGGCAGCCUGCUAAGCUGCAACUGACAUUGAGGCUCGAAAGUGUGGGUAUCAAACAGGAUUAGAUACCCUGGUAGUCCACACGGUAAACGAUGAAUACUCGCUGUUUGCGAUAUACGGCAAGCGGCCAAG